Molecule: ribosomal RNA, 253 nt
Filed under: uncultured bacterium
Lineage: Bacteria
Description: partial 16S ribosomal RNA
Rfam family: Bacterial small subunit ribosomal RNA
Source: RNAcentral
UACGUAGGGUGCAAGCGUUGUCCGGAAUUAUUGGGCGUAAAGAGCUCGUAGGCGGUUUGUCGCGUCGGCUGUGAAAUCUCGGGGCUCAACCCCGAGCCUGCAGUCGAUACGGGCAGACUAGAGUGCUGUAGGGGAGACUGGAAUUCCUGGUGUAGCGGUGAAAUGCGCAGAUAUCAGGAGGAACACCGGUGGCGAAGGCGGGUCUCUGGGCAGUAACUGACGCUGAGGAGCGAAAGCGUGGGGAGCGAACAGG